This 786-nucleotide ribosomal RNA is filed under the name uncultured Megasphaera sp. RNAcentral describes it as "bacterial SSU rRNA". It matches the Rfam family "Bacterial small subunit ribosomal RNA", at positions 66 to 819 of the family's 1533-position model. Lineage: Bacteria; Bacillati; Bacillota; Negativicutes; Veillonellales; Veillonellaceae. The record is from RNAcentral.
ACGAGGCUUUUCAAGAAGCUUGCUUCUUGAAAGACCGAGUGGCAAACGGGUGAGUAACGCGUAAACAACCUGCCCUUAGGAUGGGGACAACAGCUGGAAACGGCUGCUAAUACCGAAUACGAUCAACUGGCCGCAUGGCCGGAUGAUGAAAAGAUGGCCUCUAUAUAUAAGCUAUCGCCGGAGGAGGGGUUUGCGUCUGAUUAGCUAGUUGGAGGGGUAACGGCCCACCAAGGCGACGAUCAGUAGCCGGUCUGAGAGGACGGACGGCCACAUUGGAACUGAGACACGGUCCAGACUCCUACGGGAGGCAGCAGUGGGGAAUCUUCCGCAAUGGGCGAAAGCCUGACGGAGCAACGCCGCGUGAGUGAAGACGGCCUUCGGGUUGUAAAGCUCUGUUAUAUGGGACGAACGUAUUUAUGGCCAAUACCCAUAGAUAGUGACGGUACCGUAAGAGAAAGCCACGGCUAACUACGUGCCAGCAGCCGCGGUAAUACGUAGGUGGCAAGCGUUGUCCGGAAUUAUUGGGCGUAAAGGGCGCGCAGGCGGCCUGUCAAGUCUGUCUUAAAAGUGCGGGGCUCAACCCCGUGAUGGGACGGAAACUGGCAGGCUGGAGUGUCGGAGAGGAAAGCAGAAUUCCUAGUGUAGCGGUGAAAUGCGUAGAUAUUAGGAGGAAUACCAGUGGCGAAAGUGGCUUUCUGGACGACAACUGACGCUGAGGCGCGAAAGCCAGGGGAGCAAACGGGAUUAGAUACCCCGGUAGUCCUGGCCGUAAACGAUGGGUACUAG